AGGGGUCUGGUGUAACGGUAGCAUGAAAGUCUCCAAAACUUUUGGUGAGAGUUCAAAUCUUUCGGCCCCUGCCA
Molecule: transfer RNA, 74 nt
Filed under: Clostridiaceae bacterium
Lineage: Bacteria; Bacillati; Bacillota; Clostridia; Eubacteriales; Clostridiaceae
Description: tRNA-Trp
Rfam family: tRNA
About the family: Transfer RNA (tRNA) molecules are approximately 80 nucleotides in length. Their secondary structure includes four short double-helical elements and three loops (D, anti-codon, and T loops).
Source: RNAcentral